Salmo salar (Atlantic salmon) is the source of this 54-nucleotide non-coding RNA. The record is from Rfam. Lineage: Eukaryota; Metazoa; Chordata; Actinopteri; Salmoniformes; Salmonidae.
UGCAUUCACUACUGUAAGUCACUCUGGAUAAGAGUGUCUGCUGAAUGAUGUAAA